RNAcentral lists this ribosomal RNA (346 nucleotides) under uncultured Nitrosomonas sp. RNAcentral describes it as "bacterial SSU rRNA". It matches the Rfam family "Bacterial small subunit ribosomal RNA", at positions 138 to 480 of the family's 1533-position model. The record is from RNAcentral. Lineage: Bacteria; Pseudomonadati; Pseudomonadota; Betaproteobacteria; Nitrosomonadales; Nitrosomonadaceae.
GGGGAAUAACGCAUCGAAAGAUGUGCUAAUACCGCAUAUCUCUGAGGAGAAAAGCAGGGGAUCGAAAGACCUUGCGCUAAAGGAGCGGCCGAUGUCUGAUUAGCUAGUUGGUGGGGUAAAGGCUUACCAAGGCAACGAUCAGUAGUUGGUCUGAGAGGACGGCCAACCACACUGGGACUGAGACACGGCCCAGACUCCUACGGGAGGCAGCAGUGGGGAAUUUUGGACAAUGGGCGAAAGCCUGAUCCAGCCAUGCCGCGUGAGUGAAGAAGGCCUUCGGGUUGUAAAGCUCUUUUAGUCGGAAAGAAAGAGUCGCAAUGAAUAAUUGUGAUUUAUGACGGUACCG